AGAGCGAACGCUGGCGGCAGGCCUAACACAUGCAAGUCGAGCGCCGUAGCAAUACGGAGCGGCAGACGGGAGAGUAACACGUGGGAACGUACCUUUCAGUUCGGAACAACCCAGGGAAACUUGGGCUAAUACCGGAUACGCCCUUACGGGGAAAGAUUUAUCGCUGAAAGAUCGGCCCGCGUCUGAUUAGCUAGUUGGUGGGGUAACGGCCCACCAAGGCUACGAUCAGUAGCUGGUCUGAGAGGAUGAUCAGCCUCACUGGGACUGAGACACGGCCCAGACUCCUACGGGAGGCAGCAGUGGGGAAUAUUGGACAAUGGGCGCAAGCCUGAUCCAGCCAUGCCGCGUGGAUGAUGAAGGCCCUAGGGUUGUAAAGUCCUUUCGGCGGGGAAGAUAAUGACGGUACCCGCAGAAGAAGCCCGGCUAACUUCGUGCCAGCAGCCGC
RNAcentral lists this ribosomal RNA (445 nucleotides) under uncultured bacterium. RNAcentral describes it as "SSU rRNA". It matches the Rfam family "Bacterial small subunit ribosomal RNA", at positions 26 to 518 of the family's 1533-position model. The record is from RNAcentral.